GGGGAUGAUAGGCUUCGACGGAAGAGGCUGAUCCCGGAUGGCGAGCCGAGAGGUACCGAACUCGUAAAAUCAGUACAAAUGAAAAGUGCCAAAAGCACUAACUAUGCAGCUCUUCCUUUAGCCGCAUAACGGUUAAAUAGAGCCAAUGGUCUAUAAGUAGGCCACGUCUGCCCAUCCCGACCUCCAGCCGGUGAUGGAGCAGGCGAAAAAAAGCUGGAGUGCCGUACAGCCUGCUGUGAACUGUGCGAAAGAGGGCUUUCGGGUCCAAGCAGCUAGCUGAGGGAAAGGUCUGUUGGUCAACCUUCCCCCCGUGAAAAAUAAGACCAUCUACGCUCGUAGAAGUCUGAUGAUUUAAUCUUUCGGACGCGGGUUCGAUUCCCGCCAUCUCCACUA
RNAcentral lists this transfer-messenger RNA (393 nucleotides) under Anaerolineaceae. Its description in RNAcentral is "A373 sp011176685 Standard tmRNA". It matches the Rfam family "transfer-messenger RNA". From Rfam's summary of the family: Bacterial tmRNA, also known as 10Sa RNA or SsrA, is named for its dual tRNA and mRNA-like properties. Its role is to liberate the mRNA from a stalled ribosome. RNAcentral also lists the same sequence under 1 other name. The record is from RNAcentral. Lineage: Bacteria; Bacillati; Chloroflexota; Anaerolineae; Anaerolineales.